CAACUAUUUCUGUCUUACAAUCUCUCUCCACCAGGUGUAGCACUUCUCUCAUCGUUUAAAAACAAGAAAUGGACAGUGACGGUGGUAAAGGGGGGAUACCUAGUCAUUUUUUCCGUCUUCAUUGCGUGCCAUCAUCAUUCUCAAAGCCGCAGUUUACUUCUAAGAUCACUUUAGCACCGCCCUAAAAACCCGAUUCAAACUCGACACAAACUUUCAAAUAGGUAUGUAAUGACACAUUAUAUAAACUCUUUAUAGUGUUUUAUUUAAAAUUUUUAGAGGCGAUAAGUUCCCACACGACAUCUGUCCUUCUCACUAUCACGCAUUAGUUUCGCUUCCCCACCCGCCAUAAAAAAAAAAAAGAAGACCCGAAGGGGCUCAUUGAUUGAAUUAUGCAGAAACGGGCAGUGUUUAGGUCCUGUAAUUGAUUUUGUUGGAAAGGAGAGAAAUCGUGCAUUGCAAUGGUAUUGACAUUACAGUCUAUCUGGAAGUAUUACGUUUUUGGGGAACUAAAAUAAGGGCAAUUGUAGGGACCAAGGCGAAGUACGAGUUUACGUUAGUCAGUUAACGUUAUUUCUGGUUUUGUAGGUAAAGCAAGGCAGGCUAGCUAACGUUAGCUAGCUAGCUGUUAGCCUACAACUCGGAUUUGCAAGUUUGUUCGUAUGUCAUAAAAGUGUAUUGUCUUGGGCAAAACUAAAUAAUGGAUGCAGCUAUGGUGGUAGCUAACUCACGUCUGAGUCUGACUAAUACAGUGAAGUAGGAGCAACAAACCAUAACGGCGUCUAGAGAUGCAGUUGGUCUACAUCUGUAAAGCAUAGAAUUAGCUUGACCCGCGUUACUACCCUGAUGACACAGACGUCUUCAUCAACAACAGUAAUGUGUGUUAUGUAAAAAGUUGUAUAAAAAAUACCUGGUUUCAUAAACUAGUAGGUUAAUUACCCAGCCAAGCAGAUUCAAGUAGUAGAGUCAUUUUGGUUGAGAAGUGCAUUAUCAAAACGCCUCGUCCAUUCUUUAUAACAAAAUGCAAUUUACCACUUGGCUGUCUAUUGUAUCAUCCUGUCACAAGCUCUUUCAGUCAACAACACCUAAUGAGGAAUUACAUUGUUUAUGAGGAUUGCCUGCUGCAGUUGUUCGAGAGAUGUCUUGUUUGUAGCUGAACAUUCAACAUAGAGAAGACCAGCAAGGGGACCCUCAGCAUCACACAGACAUGCCCUCGCUGUGAGCAUUCCUAUAAAUGGAACAGGGAGGACACUUGAAUCAGAACCAUGACUGUAUGUGUUCACAAUACGUUUAUGGAGCCUGCACCUGGAGACUUGCAAGAUGAUGUGAUGGAAUCCUGACCGACAGACAGGCUUGAUACUGACUUCGCUGAAUGGAGAGACACCUGGCACUCAACACAUCCACAAUGUGGUUCUGAAGAUGAAGAGUACUAAAGAUGCUUUUGCCAGACGCCAGCCUCGGUCGUUUGAUAGAGGGACCAUAAUUGGAAACAUGUAUAGAGACAGCACAUGGAAACUUGCAAGAUGUGAUGAAGUCCAGACUGACAGACGGGCUUAAUACUGAUGCCUCCAAAUGGAGAGAGACCUGACACGGCAUUAAAGUUUUACUACACACAACUUGUACUUCUAUUGUUUUUAAAAAUGAUUUAAUAGAAUGGUAUCAGUCAAUAUGGGGAGGGAGAAACCUUGUGUAUUCUGCACCAGGAUCAGGGAACUCCGGUUGUAUACUGAACACCACACAGGAAGAUAUGACAACUCUGACAUGUUUGCCAAGGUAACCCAUUCACCACCAGACAAAAUGCCAAUAGGCACAGUAUCUGUAUCGGCUGGGAAUGACAAUGGAAGCUGAAAGCUGCACAUUGUUAUAUUAGCAGAACUAUGGUAUUAGGGAAUGGGUUGUUUAUUCUACAUGGAUCUGUUACUACAUUUGAAAGUUAUCAAAACUCUUAGCUUAGAAUAUCUACAUAAUUCAGCAAUUGCAUUCUCAUAUUACUCCGUAGGCUACUGACCUAUUCAAAGCUUCCUCUGGCAUCUCACCAUACAUCUGCCUGGAGUUAUUGAACUCAACCUGCAAGAGGGUUGUUUGAUGGAUGCUACCAUGACUACAGAUAAUCCUGAAUAAAUUGUGAAUAACGAUGAGUGAGAAAGUAACAGACGCACAAGUAUCAUACUUCCAAGACAUGCUGACAUCUCACCAUUACAAUAACAGCGGAGGUUAGCAUUUUUGGGGGGUAUGACAUUUGUGCGUCUGUAACGUUCCCAGCUGGCAAUGAGGAAUCGGCCCAGGAGCGGUCCUCUUCCGGGGAACCGGAACUGAUUGGAUUGGCUCGGAACAGCGUGAUGGGACAAGGACAUCCCAAACCCCCAUAACUCGGACGACGCUGGGCCAAUUGUGCAUCGCCUCAUGGGUCUCCCGGUCGCGGCCGGCAUGGGUAUCGAACUAGCAUCUGUAGCAACGCAAUUUGCAAUGCAGUGCUGUGUCUUAGACCGCUGCGCCACUCAUAUUAAAAUUCUACUUAAACAGGACUCUUAACACAAAAUGUUAAUUGUAUUUUUUGAUCACAGAAACAAUAGUUAAAUAAAAAACAGAAAAUAUGGAAUAAAUAAAUGUUAAAUAAAGCAGCCGUGUAAUGAUCUGCAUUUGGAUAACUCACACCGGAAUCAGUCCGAGCUCAAUCCCCGCAUAAGUAAUACCAGCCAUAAGUAAUACUGCCUAAGGUGGCCCAGAUCCACUGUGCUAGCUGGGUUCUCACUCAUCAUUAUUCAUAGUACAUUCAGGAUUUUCCAUAAUCAUGGUAACAUCCACAUUAAUGUGUAAGUGUUUAGAAGCAUAUUCUGUUCUUAUUUACAAUAAAAGUGACCCCAAAAUGACUACAUUAUUUAGUGUUCAUUUCUGUUGGGCACAAGAUAAUCUGAAACACAACCAAAACAAACAGUAAAUGCAUCCAACAAAUUUGCAGAGGCACAAGCUUGAUGUAGUCAUUGCAUGCUAUGAAUAUGGGACCAAAUACUGAACUUUUUACUACUUUAAUGCACAUAAGUGAAUUUGUCCAAAUACUUUUGGACCCCUAAAAUGGGGGGGGGGGGACUAUGUACAAAAAGGGUUGUAAUUUCUAAACGGUUCACCCGAUAUGGAUGAAAAUACCCUCAAAUUAAAUCUGACAGUCUGGACUUUAACCUCAUAGUCAUUGUUUGAUUUUAAAUUUAGAGCCAAAAUGAAGAAAAAAUGCUUCACUGUCCAAUUAAUUACAGAGGGCACUGUAUAUUGAGGCAAAAAAAUGGACAGUAGCCAAAUAGUUAAAUGAAACUCAAUUGAAUGAACAUGAAAUAUCAUUGAAAGACAGUAUAUAGGCCUAUGUAGCCUACACUGUAGGUAGGCUUUUUUAUCCUUAGCUUGUUUGUAACAAUGGCAAAGACUUUGGCAUCUUUGUAUUUGUAGUCCACUUCAUUGUGAAGUUGAAUUUGG
Oncorhynchus tshawytscha (Chinook salmon) is the source of this 3462-nucleotide long non-coding RNA. The record is from Ensembl. NCBI's taxonomy places the organism in Eukaryota, Metazoa, Chordata, Actinopteri, Salmoniformes, Salmonidae.